RNAcentral lists this ribosomal RNA (710 nucleotides) under uncultured bacterium. RNAcentral's name for it is "bacterial SSU rRNA". It matches the Rfam family "Bacterial small subunit ribosomal RNA", at positions 372 to 1101 of the family's 1533-position model. The record is from RNAcentral.
UGGGGGAAACCCUGAUGCAGCGACGCCGCGUGGAGGAAGAAGGUCUUCGGAUUGUAAACUCCUGUUGUUGAGGAAGAUAAUGACGGUACUCAACAAGGAAGUGACGGCUAACUACGUGCCAGCAGCCGCGGUAAAACGUAGGUCACAAGCGUUGUCCGGAAUUACUGGGUGUAAAGGGAGCGCAGGCGGGCGAUCAAGUUGGAAGUGAAAUCCAUGGGCUCAACCCAUGAACUGCUUUCAAAACUGAUCGUCUUGAGUAGUGCAGAGGUANGCGGAAUUCCCGGUGUAGCGGUGGAAUGCGUAGAUAUCGGGAGGAACACCAGUGGCGAAGGCGGCCUACUGGGCACCAACUGACGCUGAGGCUCGAAAGUGUGGGUAGCAAACAGGAUUAGAUACCCUGGUAGUCCACACCGUAAACGAUGAUUACUAGGUGUUGGAGGAUUGACCCCUUCAGUGCCGCAGUUAACACAAUAAGUAAUCCACCUGGGGAGUACGACCGCAAGGUUGAAACUCAAAGGAAUUGACGGGGGCCCGCACAAGCAGUGGAGUAUGUGGUUUAAUUCGACGCAACGCGAAGAACCUUACCAAGUCUUGACAUCCUGCGACGAUGCUAGAAAUAGUAUUUUCCUUCGGGACGCAGAGACAGGUGGUGCAUGGUUGUCGUCAGCUCGUGUCGUGAGAUGUUGGGUUAAGUCCCGCAACGAGCGCAA